RNAcentral lists this ribosomal RNA (325 nucleotides) under uncultured eukaryote. RNAcentral's name for it is "partial 18S ribosomal RNA". It matches the Rfam family "Eukaryotic small subunit ribosomal RNA", at positions 1470 to 1796 of the family's 1831-position model. The record is from RNAcentral.
CCCUUAGAUGUCCUGGGCCGCACGCGCGCUACACUGAUGCAUUCAACGAGUUUUACCUUGGCCGAGAGGCCUGGGCAAUCUUUUAAACCUGCAUCGUGAUAGGGAUAGAUUAUUGCAAUUAUUAAUCUUGAACGAGGAAUUCCUAGUAAACGCAAAUCAUCAAUUUGCAUUGAUUACGUCCCUGCCCUUUGUACACACCGCCCGUCGCACCUACCGAUUGAAUGGUCCGGUGAAGCCUCGGGAUUGUGGCCAGUUCACUUUAUUGGGAGUUGGCUGUGAGAACUUGUCUAAACCUUAUCAUUUAGAGGAAGGUGAAGUCGUAGCA